Molecule: ribosomal RNA, 465 nt
Filed under: uncultured bacterium
Lineage: Bacteria
Description: partial 16S ribosomal RNA
Rfam family: Bacterial small subunit ribosomal RNA
Source: RNAcentral
GACGAACGCUGGCGGCGUGCUUAACACAUGCAAGUCGAACGGAAAGGCCCUGCUUGUAGGGUACUCGAGUGGCGAACGGGUGAGUAACACGUGGGUGAUCUGCCCUGCACUUCGGGAUAAGCCUGGGAAACUGGGUCUAAUACCGGAUAGGAGCCAUUUUUAGUGUUAUGGUUGGAAAGUUUUUUCGGUGUAGGAUGAGCUCGCGGCCUAUCAGCUUGUUGGUGGGGUAAUGGCCUACCAAGGCGGCGACGGGUAGCCGGCCUGAGAGGGUGGACGGCCACAUUAGGACUGAGAUACGGCCCAGACUCCUACGGGAGGCAGCAGUGGGGAAUAUUGCACAAUGGGCGCAAGCCUGAUGCAGCGACGCCGCGUGGGGGAUGACGGCCUUCGGGUUGUAAACUCCUUUCGCUAGGGACGAAGCUUUUUGUGACGGUACCUAGAUAAGAAGCACCGGCUAACUACGUG